RNAcentral lists this long non-coding RNA (3547 nucleotides) under Lepisosteus oculatus (spotted gar). RNAcentral's name for it is "lncRNA (ENSLOCG00000022704.1)". The record is from RNAcentral. Lineage: Eukaryota; Metazoa; Chordata; Actinopteri; Semionotiformes; Lepisosteidae.
AUGAGUGGGAGGGGCAAAGAGAAAGCGAGACUGAAACAUUCUUGUGAAACAACCUGUCUAGCGCAGAGCCAUCCUGGCAGGGGAAAGAUGCAGACACAGUUGGCCUGUCUCCUGCUCAUCCUGGCCUGCCUGCAGACAGGAACAUCCAACACUCGAAUCACGAUGUGGCAGGAGAGGGGUUCUGGGGUUGACCUGACGGUGACCUGCGCCCUGUCUGGGGAUGAGAAGGUGUCCCAGGUUAACUGGGAGAGGGUACAAGGCGCCAAUCACAGCAAGUUGGCGGUGUACCACAUCGAUCUUGGCACUCACAUCCCCACUGAGCACCAAGCGAGCCUGGAGCUCUUCAGCCCCUCGUCCACACGCUCCGUGCUUGUCCUGAAGGGGGGGCGUCUGGAUGCCAACGACACCUACUGCUGCACCUUCAUCACCUUCCCCUCCGGCAGCCUGCAGCAGUGCCUGGACGUCACCACGCCCACAGUUGAGGCCCGCCUGGGGGAUGAAGAGAACGUGACGGGAGGGUGGCUGGUGCUGGCCGGCAUUGCCGCGGUCCCCUGCGUGGCGUUACUGAUGAUCACUGUCAUCGCCUACAGGAGAAGCUGUAACUCCAGGAGAAGAGUAUUCAAUGUCCAGCAGUCAAUCAGCAUAGAGGACUUAGAGGACUCAGAAGAGCCUCUUCACCUGCCACUGCAGAGCCAGCCCUCGAUCAACAGCCACAACUCCAAUUAUUACAUCAUGAUCAACGCCGACUACUACAACGGGAGGCCUGGGCAGGGGGAGCAGGAGGGGCACCUCUCGGCGGUGUCCCACCUGUUCAGCAGCCCCCACCCCUUUCACAAGACCUACUACCUUCUUGGGGAGGUGCAGCCAGAAAAGGGCAAGGCCAACCUCCAGAAGCAUGGUGCCACCUCACUGCCCAUGCCCACACCCAAGCGGGAGUUGCCUGGGGCUCCUGGGAGUUGCGUCAUACCAGAAACGGAAGGGCUGGGGCUUCAGGGCAAAGCAUGUUGAUGGGUCAGGGUGCUAGAUGAUGGAGUGGGACAAAGUGAAGCUGCUUUCUCCAGAAGGCACUUAAGUUCUUGAAGCACCGCCUCCUGCCUUUUAGCACAGCAGAGCUGGCUUCCCAGCACCUGGCUCUCCGAGAGUGGCAAGACUGUGGUGACCAUUGGGAGUGGUGUCAUGUACAGACUGGUGUUCUUUAAACAGUUGUGCUUCCUUGUGCACGUAACAGGACUUAGAGGUUUUUACAAGGGAUUUGGGAACUCAAAAGGAUGGAAGCAAAAUCCCUAGCCAAAGGUUUUUUGGAAAAACUGAGAGGGUUAGUGAUUGGGCAUGUAGAAUUUGGUAAUAACAAUUCUCCCUCCAUUGACCAAGCUACAUUGACCAAGACGCCCCUGUACACAGCUCUGGGACUGUAGCAAACUAUCGGAUUUCUGUGGCUGUUUUUAAAUGGAGUGGACCUGGUCUCAGUGGCUUUUUCCCCAGUACUCCCUGAUUUGAGUAUAAAAAGGCCUUCUUCCCAAGUCACACUUUGUAUGAGGAUGGAUCAUUAAGAAACAGCCUAUGAUAGAUAGUGUGCCUUUGUAUGGUAGUUUUAUAUUGACAAACACAGAUAUUGUAUAAAGCUGAAUUGCAUUAUUUUUUCAUGUAAACAUAGUGCAGUUAUGAAUCUUUCAUAUACUAAUAUAAUAGAUAAUAGUUUAUGUACAGUAGUAAUAAUAUUCUACUCUAAAACUGCUCUCUCCAUCUCUACCUGCCUCUACAUCUAUAACUCUAUUAUCUACAGUUUAUAUUGUUGUUUGUGUCUCUACAGUAUACAUCUUCUUCCAUCUGUAUAGGAACAGUUGCAAUGUUUGAGGUGUGAAGAUUUUGCAUUAUUCUAUGCAGCAAAAUUAAAAUGUCAAUGCAAUAUAAAUAACCAUAAAGGAAGGGGGAAGUACAGUUACGUCUCAGAUCAAGGACAAGAAAUUGCUAACUUGACAUGAAUGUAAUGCACACAACCCGAUAAAUAUCUGCAUCACCAUCACAGUCAUUUGUCUUCACCGUACUUGUUUUUAAAAGGUGCAGAUUGUCCCUGCAGCUAAAAAGGUUAACACUGCCUCUAAAUGGAAACUGUUUACUAAUGUACGGUAACGCUUUGAAUGAGGAAUUAAUACAUUUGGCAAUGAAUGAUGACUUAGCCUCCUGAUUUCCAUAUGAACCGGGGAGGAGUAGGGAAAAGCAAUCAGAACGGCUUCACCACCGCUCCACAGGGACAAACCCUUCAGGUGCGUGUUGUAGUGAUCAGGUGAGAGGCUGUACAUUUCUGUAGAACACACUGGUCAGUCACAGGUGUGUUUAAAGCCAAGACCACGCUUUAGAAAGAGAAUGAGCUCAAGCAGUAGAUCUUGAGUGAAGUCUGCAGGCCUGGUCCUGGAGAGCCAGGGUUUAUAGAGCAUUUCAGACAAACUGUGAGACAAAGGAGAACAAACAAGCUUGUGCUGGGGUUGCCGAUGAUGGCAGUCAGUGCUCACGGCCCCCGACCUGGAUCAGAGCUGUGCCGGCCCCUUUAGGAACCCUGCCUGAUGAGACAGUCAAACUUUACUGAGGCCUCUCACAGAGUGUCGUCUAGCUAUGAAGCCGUCCUUCGGAUGAGACGUAAAACCGAGGCCCUGACUCUCUGUGGUCAUUAAAAAUCCCAGGGCGUUUCUCUAAAAGAGUAGGGGUGUAACCCCGGUGUCCUGGCCAAAUUUCCCCCUGGCCUUUACCAAUCAUGGCCUCCUAAUAAUCCCCAUCUCUGAACUGGCUUCAUCACUCUGCUCUCCUCCCACUGAGAGCUGGUGUAUGGGGAGAGUACUGGUGCACUCUGGCUGCUGUUGCAUCUUCCAGGUGGGGCUGCACACUGGUGGUGGUGGAGGGGAGUCACCAUUACCUGUAAGGCGCUUUGAGUGAAGUGUCCGGAAAAGAGCUAUAUAAGUGUAAGCAAUUAUUAUUAUUAUUACAUGACUCUCUUGGUUUCCAUUAGAGACGUGCUCAGCUCAAUUCAAGCUCAAGGCUCUCAAACAUCAGAACCAGGCACCAAGAGCAUUAUGCGUGGAUGUUUGCGGUGAAAGACAUUUCUUUAAACAGAACAGAAUUGGGUUCAAACCCGACCCGAUGCAAAGCAGAAGCAGCGAAAGCACUAACGCCUAGCAAAUGGGAUUACGUUCAAAGCAAAGAAGGAGGUUUCAGUGCCGCCGUCGAGUGCACCGACAACGGUGGCAGGUGCCUGUGCUGUAACACUGUAUUGAUUCAUACUCUGACCAGCAGACUUGCACAGGCAGGGGCAUGUGUUCUCCAGGCACUGCAGUCAGCCUGGGAACGGAGCAUCUCUCCAGCGAACCGGCUGUGUGUCGGUCGCAGCAGGUCAUGCUGCACCACAAGCAGUUUGAAGCGAGCUGGUUUCCUUUCUCUCAGGAACCGAAGGUGCCGUUUGUUUCUAGUAAAAGCGCGCGCAGGUGACGACAUGCAAAUUCCGCCCCACAUAGAUAAGAGAACUUUCCACGCAGCGCAGCCUGUCGUCUCCUCAGCC